Molecule: long non-coding RNA, 1918 nt
Organism: Pseudopipra pipra
Lineage: Eukaryota; Metazoa; Chordata; Aves; Passeriformes; Pipridae
Exons: 4
Source: RefSeq, a predicted model, not a curated record
UACUAACAGCACUGUUCUCCACACACACACCCUUUCGUUUUCUGAGACUAUUUAUCUUUUCAUAUUUCAGGAACAAAUAUGGAAAUGAAAACAGAACAAGACAGCCAAAUCCUGCAUCAGACUAAAACCUGCAAAGACCAGAAGACUUCUGUGUGACUCCAGCUAUCUUCAAUUCCUAUGACCAACGCCACAACUGUAAAAGGAAAAAAAAAAGGCACAAUCUUUGCAGAAGGAAAAUAUGGAUUCCUUUUUCCAGGGGAAAAUGGAAAGUGGUGGCUGGAGAUGCAGAACUCUGCAUACACGUUGUAAUCAGGGAGCUCUUGCUUAGCAAGGGGACACCUUCUUGAAAAGAAAGCAAUGGACCCUGCAGCGUCACCUGCACCUGGGCAGUGUGCUCUGUAAUUGCUCACAAGAUCAAACUCCUCAAUCUAGACAGGUGGAGUAGCACCUUCAAUGAGAUCUCACAUGGAUUCCUUUAUAUUACAGUAAAAUGGAAAUGCCACACUGUCUGAUACGGUGCCUCAGCUGACAGAAAAGCUGCUAACAGCUCACAGAUGGCAACUGGAUGCUAAUUGUCUCAGCAGGGAGCAAUUCAAAGAACACCAAAAAUUAAUCCAUCACUGGGUUUUUGCUCAUGCAGUAAACAGUACUCUCUUCCUGAGGAGAAACCAAAUUAGUGACUGAAGAGUGAUUCAUCACAAUUUCUUUUUGGAACAUCUCAGUAGAAAUGUAGCAAGUACCUGGUUCAAAAUGAACAAAAGGACAUAUUUCUAACAUAAUGAAUUGUUAAAUCAUGCACUAAUGAAUGCCAUGGAUGGUAAGAAGUUGCAUAGGCUCAAAAGUUAUUGGAUGAAUUCCAAGAAAAAAAAGUAAAUCAUGUCAUAGCAAAUGCAAAGAUAUCCUCCCUGUUUUGAGAAGUCCCCAAGAGAAAACCUAUGGAAACCAGAAGAAAAUCUGAGGAAGCACUGCUCAUGCUUGUCCUCCUACUAUUCUGUUACCAACAGCACCUGCUAUUGAUCAGUAACAAGGUCAGGAUUCAGGCUGACAUCUUUAUAUUCUCACUCAGUAUGUGGGGUUGUGAAACAUAAAUGGUAUUCUGGCUUUUCCAAAUAAACAAACACAGCCUUAGUCUUUCAGUGGUCUGAGUUCUGCAGAAACACGUCACCAGGUGGUAUCUUAAUUUCAGCAUCUGUUAAUACUGAGUUCAAUAAAACUGCUGAUACGAUUCACUUUAAACAAACAAACCCUAAGGACAGGAUUCUUGUAUUAUCUAAGGACACUACAUGGCUGUAAUGACACAAGACUUUCUGAAGACACAACAGGAGACUGGAUGAACACCUUAUAGGAUAUCUUUAAUGGCAAUAGAUGUCUGUGUUCAAGGAACUGAACUUCACCCUAUCUGGAUUAGCCACUGAGAAAGCCCCCAGGAUUGAUCCCUCUAAUUCAAGUUCAGCAGCUCACAUUUCACAAAGCCUUUUUUUUUUUUCCGUUAACUGUUAAUGAACACUUAAAUAUUUUGCUGCCUUAGGACACAGAGAAGGUACUAAUGUCUAAAAGCCAGAGGAUAAGGUAUGCUCUGGGACCUGCACUGGAGAGCUAGAAGAUCAUUCGAUGCACAGAAUGGAAGGGAGUGAUACAGACAAAAGGUCUUGGUAUCUGAGCUGGAGAUUCUGGGACUGCUAAAACCUUUCACAGAGUGAUGUUCCUGUGCUGAAAACUAAUUUUGAUUCAACAUUUCAUUUUAAAAUUACAAUUAGAGCAGAUGAGACUAAUAAAAAUAAAUCACAGAUGAAAAAAUAAUGCUUUGAAAGUAAAACUUUGUGUGAAAUGGUUUUUUCUGCAAAUUCCUUCUUGGCAAAUUUUAAAAUGUCAGGUUUCACAUAUAGCUGAAAUUAAAGUAAUUUUUUAAAACUGUAAA